Molecule: long non-coding RNA, 731 nt
Filed under: Capsicum annuum
Lineage: Eukaryota; Viridiplantae; Streptophyta; Magnoliopsida; Solanales; Solanaceae
Description: long non-coding RNA (CANN_LNC021229)
Source: RNAcentral
GUUAAAACAUCUCUUCAACAAAAAUUAGAAAAAAAAUAAAACAGAAUACUAGUACCAUACCUGUUCUAUAACAAACCAAAAUUAUUACUACUGCACAAUAACAUCAACCUUCUUCUCAUAGUCCAAAUUUUCACCAUUCAAAUCCUUGCACUGCAUAUACAACUUAACAUUCCCCUCAAGAUAGUUAUUCAUCAUCUCAAAUCCCCAGUAUGAAUAGAUCACAGGCAGCGACAUCAUGACCAUUCGUCUCAACAGAUCAUCCUUCAUUGCAAACAUUACGAUUAAAAACAAUUUGACCAAACCAACAAUACUUAUCCCCAUCACAAUCCAGUAAAACAACACCAAUUCCAACGCUUUCCAUAUCUUCCUCUUUACCAAAUUUGUGUUGGGAAUAAAUAAAAAUAAUAGUACUAUACAACUGUGAACAAAAUAUUAUUUUGAUAAUAUUAACAAUACAAUAUGACAGUGUAUAUAUAUUUAUUAUACUUGAAUCAUGCUGGGUACUGUCCUAAGAAACUAUUUCAGCAGUGUGAAAUGUUUCACUAGGAUUAAACAAGCACUUCUCUAAAUAUUUAGAGGAUACAGGAAUCAACAAAACUAUUAAUACAAAUACCAACAAGUUAAUUUGGAAACUGAUAUAACUAAUAAUAAGGUUUGUAUAAUAGUAAUGGAAAAGUAAAUGAAAUGGAAAAGAAGAAUUAUUUAAACAAAGUGUGUGUUAUUGUUUUUUC